Molecule: ribosomal RNA, 492 nt
Filed under: uncultured bacterium
Lineage: Bacteria
Description: partial 16S ribosomal RNA
Rfam family: Bacterial small subunit ribosomal RNA
Source: RNAcentral
AGUGAACGCUGGCGGCAGGCCUAACACAUGCAAGUCGAACGGAAAGACAGGAAGAGCGCGCUCUUAAGGGUGGCGAGGGGCGGACGGGUGAGGAGUAGAUAGGAAACUACUAAUUCGGGGGGGAUAACGGAGGGCAAGUGACGCUACUACAGAAUACGUCCUACGGGAGAGAGCAGGAGAGCUAGGGAGCUUGCGCGAUUGAUUGAGACGGUGCCGGAUUAGCUAGUUGGGGGGGUAACGGACCACCAAGGCGACGAUACGUUGCGGACCUGAGAGGAUGAUCAGCCACACUGGAACUGAGACACGGUCCAGACUCCUACGGGAGGCAGCAGUGGGGAAUCUUGCGCAAUGGGCGCAAGCCUGACCCAGCCAUACCGCGUGAGUGAUGAAGGUCUUCGGGUCGUAAAGCCCUUUUGUUAGGGAAGAAAAGCAGCGUGUUUAUCCCCCCCCGUUCUGACGGUACCCAAUCAGAAAGCCCCGGCUAACUUCGUG